AUUCUAAUUAACAUGCUCCAGAUGUUUGGAAGCAUAUACAGCCAUUUGGGAGAACAGAAGCAUAGUGGCUGUGUCCUACAUGACUAACAACAGAGCCAGGCCUCAUGCAGUAUUGCUAAAUUUGAAGACUGGAUUUCUUUUCCCCUCUGCUCUGAGAAAAAGGAAAGCAGGCCCAAGAGACAUUCAAAGAUUCAAGAAACAUCGUUCACAAAUAAGCAGAUGCCAAUAUUCGAAAUGCUUAUGUAUCAUGAACUCUAACCCAACCUUAGUUACCAUCUUUUCAGCUCCCAAAGCCCAUAAAGACCACCAUUGUGGUUUGUCUGGAUGAUGAAACAAAAUUUCUAUUGAAGAUUUAGCCAAGUAUGUCUGCUAAAAUAAGCUAUAUUUUGAUAUGCAUAUGGUAUGGUUAUGCAUGCAAACUUUGAGUUUUAUUGAGGUUCUGUAUGUGAGCUUGUGGAAUAAUUGCUGGAGAUGACUCAAUGAGGCUAAACAUUUGUCCAUGUCUUAAGAGAAGGUUCAGUGUUGCGGAAACUUCCAGGGUGAGAUGCGGCGGUUAUGCAAGUAAAUCUGUUCCAUGAUAGUCCCCUUAGCAAUACAGCCUGAAGCCUUAGGUACUGAUAACACCAGGGAAGCUCAGUGUGCUGAUUCUAAGAGAUAUAGCAUGGAGGGUGGAGUGGAGUGAAGACACCAUGGCCAGGCUCUGUGCUAUCACUGCAGGGAUGGGGAACCGGAUGGUAUUGCAGAACUGUUAGACCGCAUGGCCAGCCCUGACUUUAACUGUUAACCAAAUCAUGUCCUUUGGGUGAACUUUGCUCAUUAUAACCCCAUUAUAAUGCCAAAACACACCCCCAUCCCAAAGGCUACCCACCUCCAAGGUGCAACCACCCGUCACUGAGCAUGCACUCUGAGUUUCUCUGAGCCUAUACCUUUAAACAAAGGUGAGAAAAACUUACACAAAUCGCAAUGAAGACUAGACAGUGAAGGCUAGAGUCACUCAAGUUCCACCUAAAAGUAAGGAAAUAGUAUAAAAUGGCCCAAGAGAAGGAAAACAUGAGGGAAGACACCAUUGCAGACAUGUUGGAAGGGCAUUGCUGACUUCUGGGAUCAGUCAACAGGCUGAACCUCUCUUCCCCACCCCACCCCCCAACCCUCCCCCCCAUGGGGAUGCCUAUUAGGUGAGAUUCGAACUCUGGGUUAUACUGAGAGCUUCACCGGGGAACCUAACAUUCUCUAUAGAGCUGUUUCAUAAAUUAACAUGUAUGUAUUGGUUGUGUUUGUUGUAUUCAUGGUAUUUGCAUGUGCUUUGCAGACAGAGUGUUUAUUACAGACAAUCCAAAAGAACUUGUACUCCUGUUGCUUCAAUAAACUACAGCAGUCAUUUACUAGACUGAAAGUG
Molecule: long non-coding RNA, 1396 nt
Filed under: Anser cygnoides (Swan goose)
Lineage: Eukaryota; Metazoa; Chordata; Aves; Anseriformes; Anatidae
Description: lncRNA (ENSACDG00005005545.1)
Source: RNAcentral